RNAcentral lists this long non-coding RNA (929 nucleotides) under Fukomys damarensis (Damara mole-rat). RNAcentral's name for it is "lncRNA (ENSFDAG00000027024.1)". The record is from RNAcentral. Lineage: Eukaryota; Metazoa; Chordata; Mammalia; Rodentia; Bathyergidae.
GUGCUCACUUGCUGAAGGCAGUCCUGCCCUGGCAUCAGGGAAGGAGAGAGAAACAGAGGGAGGGAGAGGGAAAGAGAAGAGAGUCCUCAGGAAGCUCACAAUCUACCUUGAGGGAGUAAGAUACAGCAUGUAUAUUCAUUUGGAGCUCAGUUUAGACUUGAUGAACAUGUAUUGUGCUAGUAUGUGUUUAUACAUGCAAGGCAGACUGUGCUUCUUACCAUAGGAGAUGAUUACUGAUAAUUUUAUUAGUUUGCAGGAAAAGAGAUGGAUGGAAAUGUCACAGAAUUAGAAAAUCUUGAACAACUUUGAGGUGAAAGGAUUUUGCUGCUGGAGGUGGGAGAUGGACAGUAGGAGCAAAGAUACUGAAUCCACAGAUAAGUCAUCUAGAUUAAAUAGCCCAAAAUGCCCAUCUGAGAGGAAUGGGAGACACAGAGAGAAUGAGAUGUUCUUCUAGAUGGAUCCAUAAAACCCUCGACGGUGGAGAAGCCUUACAAAUGACCUACAUGAGUGCCUUCACUAUAGAGAGGAGAGUUCAGGCCACAGAGGGGCAGUGAAACCUGCAGAUGAUGGUGGAGAAAGUGGCCCACAUCAAACUAAUGUAGAGAGAAGCAGAAGUCCAGAGGAGCGGAUACAAGGUCGGAUGAGGGCACCACGGCAGGGAGGGAAACUGUGAGGUCAGAUGACAUAGAGAUUUGAUGUCAAGACCAAGGAAUUCCCAGAGAGAUGAAUCCAGAUUCCAAUGGUCAAGAAGGUCAGUGCCAUGCCAGAGAAACAACAAGGAAUCUGGGUAGAAAUCACUACUCAAAGUGCUGGUGGGAACACAGAGGGAACAGAUCCUUCUUCUGGCUUCUCCAAUUUGAGACAACAUGUGAAGUGGAAACCAGAUUGAAAAGAAAAGAAUUGGAGAAGUAAAUACUACUAUGCAGAGA